This 468-nucleotide ribosomal RNA is filed under the name uncultured bacterium. Its description in RNAcentral is "partial 16S ribosomal RNA". It matches the Rfam family "Bacterial small subunit ribosomal RNA", at positions 28 to 507 of the family's 1533-position model. The record is from RNAcentral.
GACGAACGCUGGCGGCGUGCUUAACACAUGCAAGUCGAACGGAAAGGCCCUGCUUUUGUGGGGUGCUCGAGUGGCGAACGGGUGAGUAACACGUGAGUAACCUGCCCUUGACUUUGGGAUAACUUCAGGAAACUGGGGCUAAUACCGGAUAGGAGCUCCUGCUGCAUGGUGGGGGUUGGAAAGUUUCGGCGGUUGGGGAUGGAUUCGCGGCUUAUCAGCUUGUUGGUGGGGUAGUGGCUUACCAAGGCUUUGGCGGGUAGCCGGCCUGAGAGGGUGACCGGCCACAUUGGGACUGAGAUACGGCCCAGACUCCUACGGGAGGCAGCAGUGGGGAAUAUUGCACAAUGGGCGGAAGCCUGAUGCAGCAACGCCGCGUGCGGGAUGACGGCCUUCGGGUUGUAAACCGCUUUCGCCUGUGACGAAGCGUGAGUGACGGUAAUGGGUAAAGAAGCACCGGCUAACUACGUG